CAAAGACAAAAAAAAAAAACAAUAAGCUUUGGUUAGGGUUUUAAUUUUCUCUCUUCUUACCCAUUGCACUAGCCGUCACUCUCUUUCUCCCUCACCCUUACCCUCACCUUCGCCUCUCUCUCUCUCUCUCUCUCCCUCUCUCCUUGCCUCCCUCACCUGUUCGAAUCCGUACUCACAGUUCAGAACAACGAACUCGUGGAGCUAUAGUCAUGGAAAGUGUUCGUUGGGUUUCAACACAACGAGUUCUUGGUUUUGGCCACUAACGCCGUGAUUGGUAACGGAGGGACUGGCUUGCCGGCGAGUGUGGGGAACGGCACCGUUUGGUCGGGUACCUGAUGACGGAUCUGAAGACGGCAAUCGAAACAGCUAGGGACUUGACCCAGAUGCGAGUUCAGGUCAGCAUGGAAAUCAACUAAGGGUGGUGGUGUCAGUUUUGAGCAAGUGGGGGUGUCUCUGGCUUUGGAAUUAUAUAUGUUCGAGAGAGAGAUUGCUGGCUGUGUCUCCUAAGCUGACCUCUUUGCCUGGACUCCUUGGGUUUUGUUACCAAUCUAGGAAGCAACCAUGUCUUUUGGGGUCUCUUCAAGUGAAAAGGGGUGUUAAACCUCUGCUUGGACUUGCUUCUUAUUGUUUGAAGAAGUUUGGAUUUUAUUGGUGGUGCUUCUGCUUCUGUGAUUCUCUUCCUAUAACAUUUUAGCAAAAUGAAGUUCCUGAAACUUGGAUCUAAGCCUGACUCUUUUCAGAUUGAUGGAGACAAUAUUAGGUCUACUUGCUUCUUUUGUAGCUUGGAUCAGCCAAAUGCCACAGUUCGUGCUAGAGUCGGAAAUCCCAAAGAGGGGGUGGACUGAUUAGAGAUGAGCAAGGGCAAUGGGUAGGGGUUUCACCAGAAAAAUUGGGAAGAUUAACAGUUUCAUGGCAGAUGCUUGGGCUCUCCGAGAUGGUCUUGUUCUAUGCAAUCAAAUGAAGGUGUCUAAGGUCAUUGUUGAAUCAGACGCCAAAGCUGUAGUAGAUGCUCUGAAUAACCGGGGCUCUCACAACUCAGCGUUCUCUCCUCUCUUCAAUGAUUGUAGACAGUUGGCCUCAAAUAUUCCCUAGGUAGUUUUUAGGCACAUUUAUCGCGAAGCUAACUCUUGUGUGGAUUGGCUUGCCAACUUGGGUCGUUUGCAACAAUUAGAUUUUGUUUUACAUUCCAGUCCGCCUGUGGACUUAGUUUCUUUUGUCUUGGCAGAUUGCCAGGGAGUGUACUCUAAAAGGCUUGGACCUGCUCCUCUAUUUUCUUCUUAGUGAUUGUUUGGAUAGCAUUGCGUUUCUGCGUUUUUGCGUUUUCCUUUUUUUUUUUUUUUUUUUUUUUUCCACAAGCGGCUACUGUUCAUGCAAUAGUAGCCGCAACUUUUGACUGGUCUGCUAUGAACAGUGCAUGGAUGCACUGUUCAUGGACCCACAAAUUUCAUUUUUUAUCAAUUUUUUCAUUAAAAAUGGGUCCCACAACACUAUUCACACAUUUAAAAAUUAUUUUGCUAUAGUGUUUUCAGUUUUCAGUUUCAGCAAAAUAAGUUCUAUUCAAACACACCCUUAGUUUAAUAUAAUGUUUCCUUUUCACCAAAAAAAAAAAAAAAAAGAAAAAAAAAAGAA
Quercus robur (English oak) is the source of this 1629-nucleotide RNA transcript. RefSeq lists it as uncharacterized. The transcript has 5 exons. The record is from RefSeq and is a predicted model, not a curated record. Lineage: Eukaryota; Viridiplantae; Streptophyta; Magnoliopsida; Fagales; Fagaceae.